GACGAACGCUGGCGGCGUGCUUAACACAUGCAAGUCGAACGGAAAGGCCCUGCUUUUGUGGGGUGCUCGAGUGGCGAACGGGUGAGUAACACGUGAGUAACCUGCCCUUGCCUUUGGGAUAACUUCAGGAAACUGGGGCUAAUACCGGAUAGGAGCUCCUGCUGCAUGGUGGGGGUUGGAAAGUUUCGGCGGUUGGGGAUGGACGCGCGGCUUAUCAGCUUGUUGGUGGGGUAGUGGCUUACCAAGGCUUUGACGGGUAGCCGGCCUGAGAGGGUGACCGGCCACAUUGGGACUGAGAUACGGCCCAGAGUGCUACGGGAGGCAGAAGUGGGAAAUAGUGCACGAUGGGCGGAAGCCUGAUGCAGCAACGCCGCGUGCGGGAUGACGGCCUUCGGGUUGUAAACCGCGUGCGCCUGUGACGAAGCGUGAGUGACGGUAAUGGGUAAAGAAGCACCGGCUAACUACGUG
RNAcentral lists this ribosomal RNA (468 nucleotides) under uncultured bacterium. RNAcentral's name for it is "partial 16S ribosomal RNA". It matches the Rfam family "Bacterial small subunit ribosomal RNA", at positions 28 to 507 of the family's 1533-position model. The record is from RNAcentral.